GACGAACGCUGGCGGCGUGCUUAACACAUGCAAGUCGAACGGAAAGGCCCUGCUUUUGUGGGGUGCUCGAGUGGCGAACGGGUGAGUAACACGUGAGUAACCUGCCCUUGACUUUGGAAUAACUUCAGGAAACUGGGGCUAAUACCGGAUAGGAGCUCCUGCUGCAUGGUGGGGGUUGGAAAGUUUCGGCGGUUGGGGAUGGACUCGCGGCUUAUCAGCUUGUUGGUGGGGUAGUGGCUUACCAAGGCUUUGACGGGUAGCCGGCCUGAGAGGGUGACCGGCCACAUUGGGACUGAGAUACGGCCCAGACUCCUACGGGAGGCAGCAGUGGGGAAUAUUGCACAAUGGGCGGAAGCCUGAUGCAGCAACGCCGCGUGCGGGAUGACGGCCUUCGGGUUGUAAACCGCUUCCGCCUGUGACGAAGCGUGAGUGACGGUAAUGGGUAAAGAAGCACCGGCUAACUACGUGCCAGCAGCCGCGGUGAUACGUAGGGUGCGAGCGUUGUCCGGAUUUAUUGGGCGUAAAGGGCUCGUAGGUGGUUGAUCGCGUCGGAAGUGUAAUCUUGGGGCUUAACCCUGAGCGUGCUUUCGAUACGGGUUGACUUGAGGAAGGUAGGGGAGAAUGGAAUUCCUGGUGGAGCGGUGGAAUGCGCAGAUAUCAGGAGGAACACCAGUGGCGAAGGCGGUUCUCUGGGCCUUUCCUGACGCUGAGGAGCGAAAGCGUGGGGAGCGAACAGGCUUAGAUACCCUGGUAGUCCACGCUGUAAACGGUGGGUACUAGGUGUGGGGUCCAUUCCACGGGUUCCGUGCCGUAGCUAACGCUUUAAGUACCCCGCCUGGGGAGUACGGCCGCAAGGCUAAAACUCAAAGGAAUUGACGGGGCCCCGCACAAGCGGCGGAGCAUGCGGAUUAAUUCGAUGCAACGCGUAGAACCUUACCUGGGUUUGACAUGGAUCGGGAGUGCUCAGAGAUGGGUGUGCCUCUUUUGGGGUCGGUUCACAGGUGGUGCAUGGCUGUCGUCAGCUCGUGUCGUGAGAUGUUGGGUUAAGUCCCGCAACGAGCGCAACCCUUGUUCACUGUUGCCAGCACGUUAUGGUGGGGACUCAGUGGAGACCGCCGGGGUCAACUCGGAGGAAGGUGGGGAUGACGUCAAGUCAUCAUGCCCCUUAUGUCCAGGGCUUCACGCAUGCUACAAUGGCUGGUACAGAGAGUGGCGAGCCUGUGAGGGUGAGCGAAUCUCGGAAAGCCGGUCUCAGUUCGGAUUGGGGUCUGCAACUCGACCUCAUGAAGUCGGAGUCGCUAGCAAUCGCAGAUCAGCAACGCUGCGGUGAAUACGUUCCCGGG
RNAcentral lists this ribosomal RNA (1343 nucleotides) under uncultured bacterium. Its description in RNAcentral is "16S ribosomal RNA". It matches the Rfam family "Bacterial small subunit ribosomal RNA", at positions 28 to 1378 of the family's 1533-position model. The record is from RNAcentral.